CGAGGGGUCCUAGCGUUGUUCGGAAUCACUGGGCGUAAAGCGUAUGUAGGCGGGCUUCUAAGUCGGGUGUGAAAUCCCAUGGCUCAACCAUGGAAUUGCAUUCGAAACUGGAAGUCUUGAGUGUGGGAGAGAUUGGUAGAAUACCUGGUGUAGUGGUGAAAUACGUAGAUAUCAGGUGGAAUACCGGUGGCGAAGGCGGCCAAUUGGCCCAACACUGACGCUGAGAUACGAAAGCGUGGGGAUCAAACAGGAUUAGAUACCCUGGUAGUCCACGCCAUAAACGAUGAACGCUUGGUGUUAGAGGUAUUGACCCCUCUAGUGCCGAAGCUAACGCGUUAAGUGUUCCGCCUGGGAAGUACGGUCGCAAGAUUA
This 372-nucleotide ribosomal RNA is filed under the name uncultured organism. RNAcentral's name for it is "bacterial SSU rRNA". It matches the Rfam family "Bacterial small subunit ribosomal RNA", at positions 526 to 896 of the family's 1533-position model. The record is from RNAcentral.